Molecule: non-coding RNA, 4677 nt
Organism: Equus caballus (horse)
Lineage: Eukaryota; Metazoa; Chordata; Mammalia; Perissodactyla; Equidae
Source: RefSeq, a predicted model, not a curated record
UGUUGGCCUUGGUCACAUCGACUGCAAUGCUCUAGGCCAUGGUCUAGUAUCCUGUCUGACUCCCAAGUGUUGGAUUACCUCAGCUGAUGCCAAUUGGUGCCAACGCUGGUCUAGACUUAGCCUGAGUAUGCACUGUCCUUUGAUGACUACGCCUUGGGCCACUUGGCCUCCUUCCCCAGCCCAGCUUCUGCUGCCAGAGUAGCACCCCAAGUCACUCCCUAUACCCAGAGGAGCCCCAGAUCUUGUCUCACCUCCCUCCCAACCAACCCCUCCACCCCAGGCUGUAGUUUCCCUUCCUCAUGCCCAGAACUGCUCCUACUAUUUCACAUGCCCUCCAUGGAUGUCUAAUUUUCAAAGAAUGAAAAACACACAACUUAAAUAUGUUGAGUCUGAUCAUCUUCUUGAUCAUUUCAAAGGCACUUCGGGACCUUAGUGAGCCCUAGACUCUGCUUCCUGAGUACCAGGGCUUCUGGACGAUGGAAUAUCCAGGAGUAGAGUUAGGAGAACGGUCUGAAUGGUGCUGAUGCCAAGAUACUCCUGAAAAUUAGGUGACUUCUAGCAAAUUACCUAAAUUCUCUAAGCCUCAGUUUUCUUAUCUAAAAAGAGGACAAUUAUACUUAAUUCAUAAGGUUUCUGUGAGGGCUAAAGAUCAUGUAAAUAAAAGGACUUGAUUAAUUAAAAAAUUUCUAAUAUCAGCUUGACAUUUCCAUUUCCAUAAAAGCAGAGAUUUGGGCUUAUUUAGCUGUUCACAUCCUGAAUAGGUUAAAAAAGAUUACCUAAUUGUCAAUCCACUAUAACGUUCUGUUCACUGCUUGGCUCCGGCAAUAGACUCUUAGCUUCUUGAAGCCACAUAUCAUGUGUGGUUUUCUAUGAAUCUGCGCCAGCACCAGCAUAGUACCUGCUACAUGAAUGUUGAAUACACGACUUCUAUCAGCUACAUCACUCCCAUAGCUAAGCCUAGGGAUGGUGUCUCUGACAUACACUCUUGGGUAUCUCUGAAGGAGGAAUUGUGCAAACCUGGCAGGAUCUACAAUGUGUGGGGAGAACUGUGUCCCUCUCCUAUUUCCUACUUCCAGUCCCAUUAAGACACGGUAAGGAUGUCUGGCAAAUGUGGGCGAGGUCAAUAAAACCCAAGGAGCUUCCUGAUGCCUCCUGUUGCUACUCUCCACACUUACACUAUAGGCUGAGCCAACUGGGCCUAGGCCAAGCAGAAGGGUCAGCUGAGUGGCACAGGGACCCCUUUUUCCCACCAGUCCAAACUGCUAUCACUUGACUCUCUCUCAUUAAGGCACUGUGUUUCCAGGAGGCCCAGUUAAGCGAAAUACUGCUUUCUAUUGGAUGAUAAUGAGGUAUUCAUUCAUUCCUUCAUUUGUUCAUUUAUUCCACAAACAUUAAUUGAACACCUACUAUGUCCCAGUGACUGUGCUAGAUAUUGAAGAGGCAAAGUCCAGGCCCCCAAAGAAUUCUGGGACUCCUGAGGGAAACAAACAAGGAAGUAGACGAUGAUGAUGCAGCGUGACAAGAGCUAGAACUGAAGAAAGCAGAGGGCUGGGAGAAUGCACAGAGUCCCCGGGCAGGACUGUGCUGAAUGCGGAGUGGAGGGUGAAACUCGAGACAGCGUUGGGCAGGGUGGCACUUACCUCCUUGAAGGAGGAGUAGGCAUGAGGCAGGCAAAUCAAGGAAGUGUGGAGAGCAAGGGGAGAGUAUUCAUUAGGACAUGGGGACAAGACAACAGCAUGUGCAAGAAAGGAGGGUUCAGGAAGUGGCAAAUGGGGAUCUGGUGAGGAUGAACCCAGAGGAUGAGAUCAGGAUGUGAGUUCCAGACUCCUGGGGACGGAGACUCAGGGUACUGGAACCCAGGUGGAGGUGACGUGAAGCCUUCAUCUAUCUCCAACUUUACACAAGGAAGCUGAGAUCUGGAGACAGGAAAUCACCAAGGUCACACAGCAAGUGAUCUGCAUAGCUGGACCUGGAGGUGGUCCUCUGGACCCAUGGGAGUGAGAAGAAAUCAGCUUCUCAAAAUGGUAGAGAAACUCCAGGCCCCACUCUGUUGGAAUCUACAUUCUCCACAGUUGAUCAAAGAUAGUAAAGACAGCCACUGGGUCCUGCUGGUUCCGAGAGGCCCUUAAUAAAAGAACUAGAGCUCUCCUGUUACCCUCACAAAGCUUACCAGGAGGUCCUUUGCAGGCUUUAAAAGCUUGAAGCCCAGACAUAGUCUCUCUUGAAUGGUGGUCUUGAGUUUUUGAAUGGAAUAUCCACACCCUGCAUCUUUUUUCCUUUGAGAUUCAUCCUUUUCUAAUAUUGCUUUUACAACCCAAACAGACAUCUCUGCUGACGUUCAUGAGCCCUCAAAAGGUAGAAGUCUAGGUGGCAUUUACUCUUUGCAGAAUUUUUCCUCCUCCUUUUUCUUUCCUUUUUAAGAAGUUAUACCCAUCUUUCCAAUUAUAAUGAAUCAGGUACAAGACAAAGUAAAUCAUUCCGGACUUGAUUUUUUUUUAAUUCAUAAAUGUUGUGGUUGAAUAAAAAGUAACUUUAAAUGAAAAUACAUGUCACAGAACAGACGGUGCAUUUCAGGUACUGCUUCUCUUUCCUCACAUGAACAAAGAAUAUAUAAAAAUAGCAAAUAGAUAUAUUUUUUCUUGUUCAGAAUUAGGGUUUCAGAAGGCUUAAUUUCCUUUGUUCAAUAUAUUUUAAGGAUAACACAUAUUCACUAAUUCAUUUAUUCAUCCCUAUAGGAUCAGCUUCAUAAUUUGUGAGGCCCACUGCAAAAUGAAAAUGUAGGGCCCCUUGUCAAAAAUUAUUAAAAAUUUUCAAGAUGGUGCAAGCAAAGCAUUAAACCCACUUUUCUGAUCGUAAGGCCUUGUGCAACUGCACAGGUUGCAUGCCCAUGAAGCCCACCCUGCAACCACCAAAUUCUGGGCCAGGCCCUGGAAUACAAUGGUGAACCUGAAAGGUGUGGUCUGUGCCCUCCCUCUGGAGAAAGGAGUGAAGGGAAUAAUCACAUGAAGUCUGAUGAGGACCAAGAUAAGCGAUGUCCCAGGUCAUCUCGGAGCUCCCUCAUCUCAGGUCAAUGAAGAACUCCCUAGGGAAAUGACAUGUGAGCUGAGGAUGGGUGAACAACAGGGCUUCAGCCUGGCCAAGAGUAGAAGGGAAAGGACUUUAGGCCAAAGGAAGAGUAUAUACGACAAACUGGAGGAAAGGACUGGAGAACGUGGCAUGCUUGAGGAACAACGAGUAUCGCAUGGCUGUAGCAAAGAAAACACGGGGUGUGGCUGAGGAGAAGAUGGAGACAUUGAUGAGGACCAGCCCUAACGGGUGGUUGGAUUUUAUCCCAACAGCAGUCAGAAGCUCCUAAUGGGUUCCUCUUAGCUGCACAAUGGGUCAGGAAAGGAAAGAAAUCAAUGGUGUUGUCAGUGGAAGAAAAGCAGGCUGUCCUUCCUGGUUCCUGACGAAGAGCAAGGGAAAACAGGAAGUUAGCCUGCAGAGUUGCAUUGGCAGGAAGUCCUGGUCUGACAAGUCAUUCCGCCUUUGCUCUGGGCCACGGUCUUACUACCUUGAAACCGAUGCUUCUCCAUAGCCUGAUCAGCAGAUCGGAAGAGUAAGAGAGGCAGAUCCUUCCUCUUCUACCACCAGAGCUCCGUCAGUGGAAAAUGUGUUCCAGGCCUCCGGGUUUGUCCCUUAGCAACAGUGCCCAUGUACUUGGAAUCCUUUCUACCCCUCCUCAUUGGUCCCUGGGAUCCCCAGUGAUCGCCAGACUCUGCUGAACUCCCCCAUUACCUGGUCACUUGCCUCUGUCUCCCCAUUCCUGCAGCCUCCCGGGAACCAGCAUAACAGCCCCCUUGAACACCUGCCCUCCACUGGAAGACUAAGAGAAUCAUUUCUUUAAGCUGGAGGAGAUCUUGGAGAUCAUCUGACGGAAGAACCGGGAGAGCCACAGUGACUUCCAUGACAUCAGAGAGCUAUUAUAGCUGCAAAGCCAGCAUAAGAACCUUACUCUCCCAUCUCUUGAUGCCACCUCCAUGGCUUCUCUGUGUCUAGCCCAGGGGCAGCAGGUACAAUUGGCUUCCCAAAGAAGGUUUUCAAAAAUUUCACGUAUUAGCAUUUGAACUCCAGGCCACUCUAAAAGGUAAUGUUUAAACCCACCUGGUGCCUUUAUUUCCCAGGUGGAAAUAAUUUGAAUGCUUCCUUGUCUUGACUCAUCUUUAUCCAUGCAUGUACAUGAUUUUUACCUCGUGUAAUCGGUACACACGCUUCUCAAGCUGCUUGAGUUUCAUUUGAAUGAUCACGUGUAAACAUUUUUCCAGUUUUCUGGGGCAGUGCUGCGAUAAUGAAAACGUUCAAUACCUGCAUUUUGACGGUAGCCACUAGCCACAUGUGGCUCUUGAGCACUUGAACAACUGAGGAACUGAAUUUAUCUUGUUUAGUUUUAAGUAAUUCAAAUGCAAAUUUAAAUAGCCACUUGUGGCUAGUGACUCCAGUAUUGGCUAGCAUAAUUCUAAAGAGUCAUCAUACACGUUUCCUACAAUGGAUGCAUAUUAUUGUAUCUAUAUCUUGGUUUAUUUUACCGUUUCUCUGUCCUCGAACCUUCAAAAGGCUUUUUGUUUCUGCUAUUGCAGCAAAUAUAGCAUUAUGUACAGUUACAUAUACAUCGCUAUAAAAAUUGUUGCUCAUGCGGCA